AUUGAACGCUGGCGGCAUGCUUUACACAUGCAAGUCGAACGGUAACAGGUUAAGCUGACGAGUGGCGAACGGGUGAGUAAUGCAUCGGAACGUGCCCGAUCGUGGGGGAUAACGCAGCGAAAGCUGCGCUAAUACCGCAUACGAUCUGAGGAUGAAAGCGGGGGACCGUAAGGCCUCGCGCGAUCGGAGCGGCCGAUGUCAGAUUAGGUAGUUGGUGGGGUAAAGGCUCACCAAGCCGACGAGCUGGAGCUGGACUGAGAGGACGACCAGCCACACUGGGACUGAGGCACGGCCCAGACUCCUACGGGAGGCAGCAGUGGGGAAUUUUGGACAAUGGGCGAAAGCCUGAUCCAGCAAUGCCGCGUGCAGGAAGAAGGCCUUCGGGUUGUAAACUGCUUUUGUACGGAGCGAAAAGGCUCUCUCUAAUACAGGGGGCUCAUGACGGUACCGUAAGAAUAAGCACCGGCUAACUACGUGCCAGCAGCCGCAGUAA
This 493-nucleotide ribosomal RNA is filed under the name uncultured bacterium. RNAcentral describes it as "partial 16S ribosomal RNA". It matches the Rfam family "Bacterial small subunit ribosomal RNA", at positions 29 to 523 of the family's 1533-position model. The record is from RNAcentral.